Molecule: long non-coding RNA, 381 nt
Filed under: Homo sapiens (human)
Lineage: Eukaryota; Metazoa; Chordata; Mammalia; Primates; Hominidae
Description: HSALNT0187384
Source: RNAcentral
CAGAAAUGACGGGAAUCCAUACAGUGGAAUUGAGCCCAGCUUCAAAGAACAUCCCAACAACAUAUGCAGUGAGUGAAAUGUCCUCUUCAUCUCCACCCUGAAAACAAAGGAACAAUGAGUCAUUCGGGACAGCAGAGCACAAAAUAGCAAGUCACAACAUUGGCCCUCUUUGUGUAUACAAAGCCAAUCACUUCACUGCAACAGACCACAGCUGAGCAAACAAAUACAGACGUUGAUAGAUGAACCACUGACAACAACUCCUAACAAAAACAACAAUAAUAACAACAAUAAACAAGGAAUAAACCUGAAGAAAGAAAAAGAAAAUAGAAAUAAAGACACAUAGGAGAGAAAAUGGUUAAAACUCACUCGACACUGACGAGG